UGAGAAGUGAGUUUUUGCUAUGCUAG
RNAcentral lists this unclassified non-coding RNA (26 nucleotides) under Mus musculus (house mouse). RNAcentral's name for it is "oocyte_clustered_small_RNA1217". Lineage: Eukaryota; Metazoa; Chordata; Mammalia; Rodentia; Muridae. The record is from RNAcentral.